CUAUGCCCCGGAUAGACGAGCUCCUAGACAAAAUGGCCAGAGGCCAGUACCUCACCACAAUAGAUCUGUGCAAGGGGUACUGGCAAAUUCCAUUAGCCAAGGAUGCCAUCCACAAGUCGGCAUUUGUCACCUCGUUUGGCCUGUAUCAGUUUAAGGUCAUGCCAUUCGGGAUGAAGAAUGCCCCGGCUAACUUUCAGAGGAUGGUAGAUCGGCUACUGGAUGGGUUUCAGGAGUAUGCCUGCACCUACUUGGAUGAUAUAGCCAUUUUUAGCUGCUCCUGGCCCGAAC
This is a non-coding RNA of Pelobates cultripes (western spadefoot toad), 288 nucleotides long. The record is from the annotation of a GenBank genome assembly. NCBI's taxonomy places the organism in Eukaryota, Metazoa, Chordata, Amphibia, Anura, Pelobatidae.